GUCAAAGCAACCUAUCCCACAUGAUUUGAGCCACAUAUCAACUUGACAAGUGAACUUUAAUGAUAUGGGAACAUCCUAAUUAAGGAACUCCCAAUAGUUUACUUGAUCAUAAAGUUGCAAAUUCUUUGGAUCCAAACAACCUUUCAGAGAAAAUCCUUAAUUCUAGGUGUAUCAUAAUUUUAUUAAUUUGCUACUAAAGAUUCUAUUUCUUGGUUAGGAACUUUAUGCCUCCUGUAAAUGGCUUCUGUCAGUUACAUGCAGAUCAUGCAUAGAUAUGUUGUUGCAAUAGGAAGAGAAUAAUGCUCUUAAAAAUUCCAUGAAAGGCCAGAAUUUUGCUGGUUGGUUGGUGCAAUGUUGGCUAUCAGAAUUGAGGAAAUCAUAUCAUCCUGAUUAAAAUUCCAACACUUCUUGGUAUUCCCUUCUUUUAGGGUGUUUUUUCUCUUCUGAGUUAAGAUGCCCUUCAUCUCCAGCUUUCAGCAUUUCAUAGGCCAAUGACUCCGAGCUGUUCUCAUUUAAUUGCCUCCCCAAGUCCUACUAUAGUAUUAGAAAAACCUUAAAGGACAUCCUCGAGUGCCUCUCUAAACAUUUUCAUGUGCCUCAAGCAGGUUGUGGAGGAAGCACUGGUCAAAGUAUUCAACAUUAAAAGUGAAGAAGCCCUGCAGUUGGCGUAGCUCGAGGCACGACAAGAAGCAGCUGUUGCUAAUCGAAGCGACCUGCUUUUCUUGUACAGGAUCAGAGUAACAGCAAUACAAAGGUGCAUUAUAUCAGACUUCGCAAAACCUCGAUUUAUAAUGAAGUUGAUGUGUGUCUAUGUUGAUCAAUGACACUGGUAAUUGCUGAGACUUUUACCAGUCGACUUCCAAGUAACCAGCAAGUUCUAGUGGUAGAAGAAGUUUACAUGAUUGUU
Molecule: long non-coding RNA, 907 nt
Filed under: Musa acuminata (dwarf banana)
Lineage: Eukaryota; Viridiplantae; Streptophyta; Magnoliopsida; Zingiberales; Musaceae
Description: long non-coding RNA (MACU_LNC004323)
Source: RNAcentral